RNAcentral lists this long non-coding RNA (258 nucleotides) under Elaeis guineensis (African oil palm). RNAcentral describes it as "long non-coding RNA (EGUI_LNC016035)". The record is from RNAcentral. Lineage: Eukaryota; Viridiplantae; Streptophyta; Magnoliopsida; Arecales; Arecaceae.
UCACUUCUAAUCAUUUCUUUGUGGAUAUUGUACUCAACAUAGCAUCACGAAGGUGCACCGCUAACCAUCUGAUCUAUUAUCACACUCCAGUUCCACGCAUUUCACUAGUUAGCCCUCUCAUGCAACAUCUCCUUCCUCGUGCUUGAAAAAGAUUACAAUCAAGAAAAGCAUGAAUAAAUAAAAAAAGCCCACUUUGAGUACAGAUCAUCAUUCACCAGAUCUCUAGUUCUCCAUUAAAAAUGUAGUCAUACACUAGCC